UCCCCUUCUGAACUUGCAACCGGGUGCGGAUGAGGGUGAAUGGGUAGACACUGACACGGAUCAUCAUUGUCAUUGCCACACCAAACACGUAGAACUUCUUCUUGUCCAGGUGUUCCCACUCGAUGAUCUGGAUGUUGCGUUUGUCCUCCAUGGUGCCUGAAGACCUGGGAUUUGAGCAGCAUGGAGGGAUGUGAAGAAGGAGGUUCUGGGAUAAGAUUCUGGCUCGAGAGAAGGCAGUGUCACCUGGAAGGCAAGGUCAUACAACGGAAAGAACACCAGCAAUCGGGAGAUCCAUGUUGAAUUUCACUUCCAUUACUCAGUAGUAUAAGACUGGAACCAAGUCACUUCACUGAAAUUCAGUUUCCUUGUCUGUUGAAUCAGGCUAAUAAAGCCUGUCAAUGCUGUAUAAGAGUUUUGGUGCAACUCAUAUGAGUUAA
Macaca mulatta (Rhesus monkey) is the source of this 437-nucleotide non-coding RNA. The record is from RefSeq and is a predicted model, not a curated record. NCBI's taxonomy places the organism in Eukaryota, Metazoa, Chordata, Mammalia, Primates, Cercopithecidae.